GGUCGCUUAACUCAGUUGGUUAGAGUGUCGUACUAAUAUGUGUCUUCUACGGAUGCAUCUGAAAUGCGAAAGUCGCCAGUUCGAUCCUGGUAGUGACCA
RNAcentral lists this transfer RNA (99 nucleotides) under Plectosphaerella cucumerina. It matches the Rfam family "tRNA". From Rfam's summary of the family: Transfer RNA (tRNA) molecules are approximately 80 nucleotides in length. The record is from Rfam by way of RNAcentral. Lineage: Eukaryota; Fungi; Ascomycota; Sordariomycetes; Glomerellales; Plectosphaerellaceae.